RNAcentral lists this ribosomal RNA (497 nucleotides) under uncultured bacterium. RNAcentral describes it as "partial 16S ribosomal RNA". It matches the Rfam family "Bacterial small subunit ribosomal RNA", at positions 28 to 507 of the family's 1533-position model. The record is from RNAcentral.
GAUGAACGCUGGCGGCGUGCCUAAUACAUGCAAGUCGAGCGAACAGACGAGGAGCUUGCUCCUUUGACGUUAGCGGCGGACGGGUGAGUAACACGUGGGUAACCUACCUAUAAGACUGGGAUAACUUCGGGAAACCGGAGCUAAUACCGGAUAAUAUUUCGAACCGCAUGGUUCGAUAGUGAAAGAUGGCUUUGCUAUCACUUAUAGAUGGACCUGCGCCGUAUUAGCUAGUUGGUAAGGUAACGGCUUACCAAGGCAACGAUACGUAGCCGACCUGAGAGGGUGAUCGGCUACACUGGAACUGAGACACGGUCCAGACUCCUACGGGAGGCAGCAGUAGGGAAUCUUCCGCAAUGGGCGAAAGCCUGACGGAGCAACGCCGCGUGAGUGAUGAAGGUCUUCGGAUCGUAAAACUCUGUUAUUAGGGAAGAACAAACGUGUAAGUAACUGUGCACGUCUUGACGGUACCUAAUCAGAAAGCCACGGCUAACUACGUG